AUCGUUUAUUUUCAAAUAUUCACUAAUAAACAUUAAAUCUGUUCUUAUCAGUUUAAUAUCUGAUAUGUCCUUUAUUUGAGGACUAUAUAUUAAAUGGAUUUUUGAAACAGGGGGUUGGAAUAGGAGCUUGCUCUAUCCACCCCAUGCAUUGGCCUGGUAUUGCAGUGUCUCCAGGAGCGGUGCCUCUCCU
Gopherus evgoodei (Goodes thornscrub tortoise) is the source of this 190-nucleotide small nuclear RNA. Its record names the gene U2. It matches the Rfam family "U2 spliceosomal RNA". From Rfam's summary of the family: U2 is a small nuclear RNA (snRNA) component of the spliceosome (involved in pre-mRNA splicing). The record is from Ensembl. NCBI's taxonomy places the organism in Eukaryota, Metazoa, Chordata, Testudines, Testudinidae.